ACGCUCGACACCUACGGGAGGUAGCAGUGGGGAAUAUUGCACAAUGGGGGAAACCCUGAUGCAGCGACGCCGCGUGAGUGAAGAAGUAUUUCGGUAUGUAAAGCUCUAUCAGCAGGGAAGAAGAUGACGGUACCUGAGUAAGAAGCCCCGGNUAACUACGUGCCAGCAGCCGCGGUAAUCUGAGCGGCUGGCAACGG
Molecule: ribosomal RNA, 197 nt
Filed under: uncultured bacterium
Lineage: Bacteria
Description: partial 16S ribosomal RNA
Rfam family: Bacterial small subunit ribosomal RNA
Source: RNAcentral